Molecule: ribosomal RNA, 217 nt
Filed under: uncultured bacterium
Lineage: Bacteria
Description: partial 16S ribosomal RNA
Rfam family: Bacterial small subunit ribosomal RNA
Source: RNAcentral
AUAUAGGUAAUGUGCCCUAGAGAGGGGGAUAACAGUUGGAAACGACUGCUAACACCCCAUAUGCCUUUAAAUCAUAAGAUUGCAAGGGAAAUAUUUAUAGCUCUAGGAUCAGCCUGUACAGUAUCAGUUAGUUGGUGAGGUAAUGGCUCACCAAGACAACGACGCUUAACUGGUUUGAGAGGAUGAUCAGUCACACUGGAACUGAGACACGGUCCAG